ACAUUAGCAUGGGAUAAUGGAAUAGGACCCUGUCCUCCUAUUUUCAGUUGGUUUUGGCAGCGCGAGGACUAGGGUAAUGAUUAAUAGGGAUAGUUGGGGGCAUUAAUAUUUAAUUGUCAGAGGUGAAAUUCUUGGAUUUAUGAAAGAUUAACUUCUGCGAAAGCAUCUGCCAAGGAUGUUUUCAUUAAUCAAGAACGAAAGUUAGGGGAUCGAAGACGAUCAGAUACCGUCGUAGUCUUAACCAUAAACGAUGCCGACCAGCGAUUAGGAGACGUUGAAUACAAAACACCACCAUCGGUGCGGUCGUCCUUGGCGUUGGGCUUGUCAAAGGCCAGCGCGGGGGGG
This 345-nucleotide ribosomal RNA is filed under the name Acanthamoeba genotype T4. Its description in RNAcentral is "SSU rRNA". It matches the Rfam family "Eukaryotic small subunit ribosomal RNA", at positions 801 to 1113 of the family's 1831-position model. Lineage: Eukaryota; Discosea; Longamoebia; Acanthamoebidae. The record is from RNAcentral.